Molecule: transfer RNA, 73 nt
Filed under: Dictyocaulus viviparus (bovine lungworm)
Lineage: Eukaryota; Metazoa; Nematoda; Chromadorea; Rhabditida; Metastrongylidae
Rfam family: tRNA
About the family: Transfer RNA (tRNA) molecules are approximately 80 nucleotides in length. Their secondary structure includes four short double-helical elements and three loops (D, anti-codon, and T loops). Further hydrogen bonds mediate the characteristic L-shaped molecular structure. tRNAs have two regions of fundamental functional importance: the anti-codon, which is responsible for specific mRNA codon recognition, and the 3' end, to which the tRNAs corresponding amino acid is attached (by aminoacyl-tRNA synthetases). tRNAs cope with the degeneracy of the genetic code in two manners: having more than one tRNA (with a specific anti-codon) for a particular amino acid; and 'wobble' base-pairing, i.e. permitting non-standard base-pairing at the 3rd anti-codon position.
Source: Rfam by way of RNAcentral
GUCUCAGUAGUGUAGCCGAUUAGCACAACAGACCGCGCAUCUGUAGGUACGGGUUCGAGUUCCAUCUGAGGUC